UAUUAGAACUGUUGUCUGUUAUAACAUUAAAGAAGCUUUAAAGUAUUCAAAUGAAGCAGUAUUUUUAAUUCUCAAAAAGAAGUGUUCAAAUGAAGCAAGUUCCUCUAGGAUCCAUGUCAUUAAUAUAUCUCUCUCUUUUAUUACUUCAAAGAAGAGAAAAGAUAUCAACUCAGUAACUCUUAACUGAAGGAGGUAAGUUGAUACUUUUGAAACGAAGGAUGCAUAAAAUAGUAUCCUCGAAAUUUCUUGAGUCCCUACAAUACUACCAAACAUCAACAGUUUUAGCAUAUUUAAUAGGUCAAAUUGAGCACCAGGAAAG
This 319-nucleotide unclassified non-coding RNA is filed under the name Hevea brasiliensis (rubber tree). The record is from RNAcentral. Lineage: Eukaryota; Viridiplantae; Streptophyta; Magnoliopsida; Malpighiales; Euphorbiaceae.